RNAcentral lists this transfer RNA (75 nucleotides) under Terriglobia bacterium. RNAcentral describes it as "tRNA-Gln". It matches the Rfam family "tRNA". From Rfam's summary of the family: Transfer RNA (tRNA) molecules are approximately 80 nucleotides in length. Their secondary structure includes four short double-helical elements and three loops (D, anti-codon, and T loops). The record is from RNAcentral. RNAcentral also lists the same sequence under 7 other names. Lineage: Bacteria; Pseudomonadati; Acidobacteriota; Terriglobia.
UGGGAGGUCGUACAAUUGGCAGUACAUCAGAUUCUGGAUCUGAUUAUCCUGGUUCGAGUCCAGGCCUCCCAGCCA